Molecule: ribosomal RNA, 432 nt
Filed under: uncultured bacterium
Lineage: Bacteria
Description: bacterial SSU rRNA
Rfam family: Bacterial small subunit ribosomal RNA
Source: RNAcentral
UGGAGGCAGCAGUGAGGAAUAUUGGACAAUGGGGGCAACCCUGAUCCAGCAAUGCCGCGUGAGUGAUGAAGGCCUUAGGGUUGUAAAGCUCUUUUACCCGCGACGAUGACGACGGUAGCGGGAGAAUAAGCCCCGGCUAACUUCGUGCCAGCAGCCGCGGUAAUACGAAGGGGGCUAGCGUUGUUCGGAGUUACUGGGCGUAAAGGGCGCGUAGGCGGCGCACCAAGUCAGGCGUGAAAGCCCUGGGCUCAACCCGGGAAUUGCGCUUGGGACUGGUGUGCUUGAGUACGGGAGAGGAUAGUGGAAUUCCCAGUGUAGAGGUGAAAUUCGUAGAUAUUGGGAAGAACACCGGUGGCGAAGGCGGCUAUCUGGACCGUAACUGACGCUGAGGCGCGAAAGCGUGGGGAGCAAACAGGAUUAGAUACCCUAGUA